This is a long non-coding RNA of Oncorhynchus tshawytscha (Chinook salmon), 1458 nucleotides long. The record is from Ensembl. Lineage: Eukaryota; Metazoa; Chordata; Actinopteri; Salmoniformes; Salmonidae.
CAACCAACCAACCAACCAACAAACCACACAACCAACAAACCAGUAUGUGAGUGAGACAGACAGAGAGAGAGACAGAGAAAGAACUUUGAGGCCUGGGUAUCGCAAUAUAUGCUGUUGAGCAUGAUUUUAGCAGCUCCUAAGAGAGAGGGAAGUCAGUCAACUAAAAAGAAGGAUAUUUAUACCUCAGAUAUUGUGUGCUGUUCAUUUUGAUACAGUGGGUUUUUCAUUUGUAAAGGUUAGUAGAUUGUCCGUGUUGGUAGAGCUAUAGAGGAGCUACUAGAUUUAAAACCUUACCAUUGUAAAACAACACAUUUCAACUGUUAGGGCUUCGUGAAAAGACAAACCAAUCCUGUAAAAUACAUUGUAGAAUGAGAUCCCGUUUUGUAAGAGUGUUUACAUGAUUGUAGGGUUUGGAUUCCUUUGACAUUCUCUCUGUUAGCGUCUACGUUGUUUCCUAGCUACUGGGGUUAGGAUUAGGAACGGGGUUAAAGUUAAGGACUGGGCAAGUGUUAGGGUUAGGAUUAGGUUAGGAUUAUGGUUAAGGUUGGGAUUAGGUUAGGAUUAGGGUUAAGGUUGGGGUUAAGGUUAGGUUAGGAUUAGGGUUAAGGUUGGGAUUAGGUUAGGUUAGGUUAGGAUUAGGUUAGGAUUAGGGUUAAGGUUGGGAUUAGGUUAGGAUUAGGGUUAAGGUUGGGGUUAAGGUUAGGUUAGGAUUAGGUUAGGAUUAGGGUUAAGGUUGGGGUUAGGUUAGGUUAGGAUUGGGGUUAAAGUUAAGGACUGGGCAAGUGUUAGGGUUAGGAUCAGGUUAGGAUUAGGGUUAGGGUUAAGGUUGGGGUUAGGUUAGGUUAGGAUUGGGGUUAAAGUUAAGGACUGGGCAAGUGUUAGGGUUAGGAUCAGGUUAGGAUUAGGGUUAGGGUUAAGGUUGGGUUAGGUUAGGUUGAGAUUGGGGUUAAAGUUAAGGACUGGGCAAGUGUUAGGGUUAGGAUUAGGUUAGGAUUAGGGUUAAGUUUGGGGUUAGGUUAGGAUUGGGAUUAAAGUUAAGGACUGGGCAAGUGUUAGGGUUAGGAUUAGGGUUAAAGUUGGGAUUAGGUUAGGAUUAGGGUUAAGGUUGAGGUCAGGGCUGAAGCUCAGGGUUAGGAUUAAGGUUAUGGUUGGGGAGGUGGGGGUAAAAUGGGGUAUUAGAAAGGCACCGAAAGGUUGCAAGAUCGAGUCCCCCUGCUGACAAGGUCAAAAUCUUGCGUUCUACCCCUGAACAAGGCAGUUAACCCACUGUUCCUAGGCCGUCAUUGUAAAUAAGAAUUUGUUCUUAACUGACAUGCCUAGUUAAAUAAAGUUAAAAUAGAAAUUAGACCAGGUGAUGGAAAGACAGAGAUGGAGGGGAGGUGGGGGUAAAAUGGAGUACUAUAAACCCACAACACAGUGCUGUGUCAUUAUUAGACCAGGUGAUGGGAAAGAGAGAGA